CCUACGGGGGGCUGCAGUGGGGAAUAUUGGACAAUGGGCGCAAGCCUGAUCCAGCAAUGCCGCGUGUGUGAAGAAGGUCUUCGGAUUGUAAAGCACUUUCGACGGGGACGAUGAUGACGGUACCCGUAGAAGAAGCCCCGGCUAACUUCGUGCCAGCAGCCGCGGUAAUACGAAGGGGGCUAGCGUUGCUCGGAAUUACUGGGCGUAAAGGGCGCGUAGGCGGCCCUGCAAGUCAGGCGUGAAAUUCCCGGGCUCAACCUGGGGGCUGCGCUUGA
This 275-nucleotide ribosomal RNA is filed under the name uncultured Roseomonas sp. Its description in RNAcentral is "partial 16S ribosomal RNA". It matches the Rfam family "Bacterial small subunit ribosomal RNA", at positions 338 to 630 of the family's 1533-position model. The record is from RNAcentral. Lineage: Bacteria; Pseudomonadati; Pseudomonadota; Alphaproteobacteria; Acetobacterales; Roseomonadaceae.